This 72-nucleotide transfer RNA is filed under the name Bos taurus (domestic cattle). It matches the Rfam family "tRNA". Rfam says of the family: Transfer RNA (tRNA) molecules are approximately 80 nucleotides in length. Their secondary structure includes four short double-helical elements and three loops (D, anti-codon, and T loops). RNAcentral also lists the same sequence under 1 other name. The record is from Rfam by way of RNAcentral. Lineage: Eukaryota; Metazoa; Chordata; Mammalia; Artiodactyla; Bovidae.
UCCCCGGUGGCUCAGAUGGUGAAGCGUCUGCUUGCAAUGCGGGAGACCCAGGUUCGAUCCCUGGGUUGGGAA